GCAAGGAGGAGAAGGGCAUUCUAGAGAUGCACAGACUAGAGCAGAGCAAUACAUCAUGCAAGAUCCAAGGUUUUCCCUACGGUGUGUGCAAGAAGGCGAGUCAGGGUGCCACAAGAGAUAGGGCAUUCCUGUAAACUUAUAUUCAUGAAGAAAGUCAGAGUACUUGUUGCAGAUGCAAUGCUAGGUCUUCAGCCAUGUGCUAUAGAAACAGAAGGUGACAAAUAUAACCAAGGAUUGGGAGGAGAAAAAGAAGAAAGCCAAUUUGGGAAAUGAGACUGUAAAGUUUAUAAUGCUACUGAUUUUCAAACAUUUUCAGAAGCAAUGGAAAGAAGAAUGCGAAGAAAAUGAGUUUAUUUUCCAAAAUGCUUUUUUUGUUAUUGUUUUGCAAUUUCCCUUUGUUAACAUCAUAUAGGUUAUGGGGGUUUCUGUUUUGAAAAAAAUAAAUACUGCACCGUGUGUGGAUUGCUACUCAGCACUCAGCAAUAAACAAGUCAAUGAAUGCUC
Molecule: long non-coding RNA, 504 nt
Filed under: Homo sapiens (human)
Lineage: Eukaryota; Metazoa; Chordata; Mammalia; Primates; Hominidae
Description: HSALNT0402907
Source: RNAcentral